Molecule: unclassified non-coding RNA, 345 nt
Filed under: soil metagenome
Description: partial contains 5.8S ribosomal RNA, internal transcribed spacer 2, and large subunit ribosomal RNA
Rfam family: 5.8S ribosomal RNA (bases 1-121)
Source: RNAcentral
GAUGAAGAACGUAGCGAAAUGCGAUAAGUAAUGCGAAUUGCAGAAUUUCCGUGAGUCAUCGAAUCUUUGAACGCACAUUGCGCCCACUGGUAUUCCGGAGGGCAUGCCUGUUCGAGCGUCAUUAUCCUCCCUCAAACCCCGGGUUUGGUGUUGGACCCAAGUUGUGUGAACAACUGGUCUCAAAGACAAUGACGGCGUCCGUGGGACCCUCGGUGCAACGAGCUUUUAGGAGCACGCAUCGAGUUGCAAGGACCUUCCGGGCCGGUCUCCUUUACCAUUUUACAAGGUUGACCUCGGAUCAGGUAGGAAUACCCGCUGAACUUAAGCAUAUCAAUAAGCGGAGGA